This 481-nucleotide ribosomal RNA is filed under the name Mycoplasma insons. RNAcentral describes it as "bacterial LSU rRNA". It matches the Rfam family "Bacterial large subunit ribosomal RNA", at positions 12 to 498 of the family's 2925-position model. Lineage: Bacteria; Bacillati; Mycoplasmatota; Mollicutes; Mycoplasmatales; Mycoplasmataceae. The record is from RNAcentral.
UAAGAGCUAGUAGUGGAUUUCUUGGGAAUAGAAGGCGAUGAAGGACGUGCUAAUCUGCGAUAAGCGUCGGGGAGCUGAUAAGAAGCGAUUGAUCCGGCGAUUUCCGAAUGGGGAAACCCAGUACUCAGAGAUGAGUAUUAUCCUUAACUGAAUAAAUAGGUUAUUGAAGCAAUACCUUGUGAAGUGAAACAUCUCAGUAGCAAGAGGAAAAGAAAACGAAGUGAUUCCCCCAGUAGCGGCGAGCGAAACGGGAAGAGGCCAAACCGAAAUUUAUUUCGGGGUUGUAGGACACUAACAUGGACUUAGUAUGCAUAGUAAAAGUUGUUGGGAAGCAACGCCAUAGAAGGUGAUAGCCCUUUAUACGAAAUGCAUAUUAUACCUAGGUGUAUCCUGAGUAGGGCGGGACACGUGGAAUCCUGUCUGAAUCUACCCAGACCAUUGGGUAAGCCUAAAUACUAACUAUUCUCCGAUAGUGGACAAG